UACGUAGGGGGCAAGCGUUGUCCGGAAUCAUUGGGCGUAAAGAGCGCGUGUAGGCGGCCCGGUAAGUCCGCUGUGAAAGUCGGGGGCUCAACCCUCGAAUGCCGGUGGAUACUGUCGGGCUCGAGUACGGGAGAGGCGAGUGGAAUUCCUGGUGUAGCGGUGAAAUGCGCAGAUAUCAGGAGGAACACCGAUUGCGAAGGCAGCUCGCUGGAACGUUACUGACGCUGAGACGCGAAAGCGUGGGGAGCAAACAGG
RNAcentral lists this ribosomal RNA (255 nucleotides) under uncultured bacterium. RNAcentral's name for it is "partial 16S ribosomal RNA". It matches the Rfam family "Bacterial small subunit ribosomal RNA", at positions 524 to 776 of the family's 1533-position model. The record is from RNAcentral.